This 9496-nucleotide long non-coding RNA is filed under the name Theobroma cacao (cacao). RNAcentral describes it as "long non-coding RNA (TCAC_LNC002324)". Lineage: Eukaryota; Viridiplantae; Streptophyta; Magnoliopsida; Malvales; Malvaceae. The record is from RNAcentral.
UUCUCAAAGGGGAAUUAAAUGAGGCUUGAGUCUAAUGCCAACUAGAAGUUAGAUAGCUCUCAAAGUCUUUUUUCUUCAUUGGGCGUUGUGCCCGUCCUUGCUUAGGAGUCGCGGUGAUAAACAACAUAUAUAUAUAUUUUUUAAUGUCUUCCAUUGGGCGUCGUGGUGUUGGGUGCGUUGGUGCCAUGGUGCUGAGGCUCAAUCACGCCUUGAGGCCUCUUUCCCAAUUGGGGUGCCACAAUGCUGAUCCCGUGGAGGCCAUUGUGUUUAAAGCUCUUUCUUAAUCAUUCAGACUCUACUACAUUACUUCAACUUCAACAUAAGUGUCACCACUUCUGUGCUGAAAUGGGCAAAGUGUUAAACAUGAAAGUUGUAUCUCCAUUUCUUAACUUUCUAAUGGUUCAUGAAUUAUGUUAAUUGGGCUUUUUUAGUAAAAGAUAUGAUCAAAAUACCAAAACAUGUGUAGAUGAAGUUUGCACCUCACAUGUAUCUCCUUCACUAAACAAGCCCUCUUUUCAAAACAUAGCUAUAAAACAAAAACUUGACUUAAACUAUAACUAAACAAAAAAAAAACAUCGUAAAAUAACUUAACACAAUUGAACCCAAUAUAAUUAAAUUGAAUAAAAUAGAUGGCGAAAAACUCCUAAUGCUUAAAUUAAAUCUCAAGAACUUAGAUAAAAUAUAGUAGAAAUUAAAACCAAAUAACUUUAUAAAAUAGAGUUAUCAAUGGAUCGUACCCAUGUAGGUCCAUGCAUCAAUCAUGUUACAGAAAUGGGAUGUGACAAUGUGGGUAUCGCCCACUAGACCCUAGUAAGUUACUUUACAUUACUCAAUCAUAAAUCAAUCACAUAUAGCUCAUUUGUCAUCAUUAUCAUCAUGCAUGCAUAAAGUAUUAGUCAUCAUAAAUAGAAACAUUUAUGCAUAACUGCAAACACAUGAUUACAGACUUCUCAACAUAAGCUGUGAAUACAAUUUUCAUUCACAAUUACUUGUACCCAGUACAAUUCAUAAAAAUUCUAGAAAUACACCUCAAGUGCUCAUAUGGGCUCACACACCAUCAUUUUUAACAUUCACAUAUAUGCGUAUAAGUAACUUGCCAUUCAAUGGCUUAGCAUCUCCAUGAGUGGAUAUGGGAAGGGGACAAAUUGAAGGGUUAGAGCUUUUGCAUAAAUACAUCCUUUAAGUAUCAUGCACAUAUAAACCUUUAAAUACACAUUUAAUGAACUUAUAAAAGAAUAGUCUUGCCUUUGAAGAAGUUUCAUAAAUCCAUUGAAAAUGAAUAUCAAACCUUUAAAUCAAUGAAUAGCAACUUUAACAAACAUUGAAAAUAACUUUCAUAGAUUUUGAAUGCCCAUAAUUCUUUAAAACCCCAUUUGAAAGUAAAAUCGUUGCAUGGCAUCCAAAAGGGUUAACUUGUCACCACCCAAACCAAGGGGCCAUGACUAGUGCAAGAGUCUAGUAGGUAGGGCUCACAAUGAAAGGGAUUCAAAUUAGGCUCAAGCAGAUCAUGCGCACUAGAAUAUUAAAAUUUUAAUCCCUUAAGCCAUGGAUCACUUUAAUGGAAACUAAUCUAGAAAAACCAUAAAAGAAAGAUUUUGACAUACUUGAAAGUUUGAUGUCAACUUUAUUUGGUGGAGUCCUCCUUGGGUUUUUGUUUUUGACUUUUGUACACCAACUAAGACUUAUCAAACUAUAGCAACACAAUUGUCUUGCCUCUAAUAGUGAUCCACAUAAUCAUUUGCAAAAAUCUCUUCACUGAGAGUGUGUGAAUUCCUAAGCCAAAGUUUGUGCGAGCAAACUCUCAACUUUGAGCUCCUUUGUGUUUCUCUCUUUUUAGUUGUGAUCUAUCUCAACACAUGAGAAAAUAAAAACAUAACUCUUUUAUAUGUUUAAGAGGUGGCUAAAGGAUUCUUUUAUAGAGUGAAUUGACCUACUUUAUAUCUAACAAGGAUUAGAAAAUGUCUUAGGCUAAUUGGGCUUUUAAUUAAUAUUCCAUCAAAUCAUCUUUGAUUUAGCUCAAUACUUUAUCAGAUUAGGCCUAUAUAAAAUCAAUUAGAUCACAUCCAAUUGAACUCAAAUUAUUUUCAACAAUUCACCUUAUGUGUGUGACCUAUUAAGUGCCCAAUAUGUUGGCAAUAAAUAUAAAUUAAUUCAAUUAAAAAUUUAAAUUUAUAUUUAUAGAUUAUGAGCAGUAUCUAGCAAUACAUCAUGACCACCCAAAUGUCAAGAGAGUCAAUAUGAUUUGACUAACCUUUUAGUGUACACUACUUAAGUGUAGUUCAGUCCUUUCAUCAUAUAUCUCGUAUAGAUAGAAAGCUUAGCUUGAUGUCUACUUUCCAAUUAAUCCAUAUUAGUUAUACAGUUGCCAUAUUGACUUAUCGAGAUUGCCUUGGCCAAGGACUUUUAGUCAAUAUAAGCCAAGAGCAAAUGAGAUCCCCUUCAAAUCACUUGGGGUGAUGAAUCCUCUCUAAACUACUCAUUCAUCUGUGCAUGCUUCAUGCCAUAAACAAAGACACCUUGUUUAGGCAUCUAGUUGUCUGCAGACUUGUAGGGAUGAAAUUAAAGCAUGAUAAUUCACAUACAAUAUGAUCUAGUAUCACAAUUCACAUACAACAUUUGAGUAUUUCAUUAAACACUUAAGUGAAAUACCGAAUGAAAGUCUUGUAACGAUCAUGUUCAGUAAACUUGUUCCUUAACAAGCACCCACUCACUAUCCUCAAGUAUCUCACAUACUUUAACCUAUGAGAUCGAUUGCUUACUUCAAAAGUAAAGAGGCCUACCAUGUACCAAUUUUUUAGCAUUUUUGUGAAAUCUCACCCUAAUGUCAGAUUUCUUAGUUAGCAAAUCCUUAGAUGAGCAAGUUAAAUUGUGUUUUACGCACUUGAAAUUUUGUUUUAUAAUUAGAAAAUUUCAUGUUUAAAUGUUUUCAAAUGAUAUACAUAGUUUGGUUUGAUAUCAAGUCCAAUUCAACAAGGUUUUGACUUGAUUUUUAGCUAUUGGAGCUUAUCUAUGGAUAGAUGUUGAUAACUCUAUUAUAUAGAGUUAUUUUGACACAUUUUGGGGGCUUAAGUAGUUAAAUCUUUGAGAUUUUAGGUUCAAAUCCUAAUAUUUUAAGUGUUUGUCUAGUUUAAGUUUGAUUACAUGUUGAGUUGUUAAUUUAAGCUAUUUUAGCUAAAUUUUACGUUAUUUUGUUUUAAAGUACUUUAAGAGUAGUAUUGGUAAUUUCUUUUAUUGCUUUUGUAGGAAAUUUGAUGAAAAUUCAUGCAAGCAUGACAAUUGCUUCAUUCAUAUAUAUUGCGGUAUUUUGACUAUAUCUAUCCAUACAAAACUCCAAAUGAAGUGAUUCUUAGACCACUAGACUUCUAAGAGGAAGGUCUAGAACUUUUAUGUUUACCACUUUACCAGUUCAGAUUGUAUAAUGGUCAAAAUAUUUGUCUAAGUUGGAGCACUACAGCAAUAUGCAGGGACUGAACAUGAUGCAGAAUUUGGAGCAUAUCUUUCAAUCCAAAAGUCCAAUUACAUUAUUCUUAAGCUAUUGGAAAGUUAAAAGAUGGGCCUACAACUUUUCUGUUUAUCACUUCUCCCAGUUUGGAUGAGAUUAGGGUGAAUAUCAUGUUCGAAUUUGAUAAACCAUCGUCGCACUGGGAGAACACGACUGUAGCAUUGGUGAAAGAAAGCUCACCAUACAAAUUUCUUAAGAGCUCAGUGCUACAGUGCUAGUAUAGCAAAAAUCCAGUGCCACAGUGUUAAGAAAUCAAGGCCGAGGCACUUAGCGAUUUUCCAAAAAUAAAAAUUUGAUUGGAUUUUGGAAAUUAGGUUACUUGAAGCCUAUUUAAGGGACCUUUUUCAAAGGUUUUAAAGGGGAGGCAGAAACCAACUAUUAUGGAGAUUUGGAUCCAAGAACAAAGCAAGAAAACAAAAGAAUUUGAGAGGGAAUUGAGAUCAUAAAGCUUCAAUAAUUAGUUUCUUUCUCUACUUUUGUGUUUUUUUUUUCUUUAACUUGGAUUCAUGGCUAAAUUUCUUUGGAUGUUGUUUUUAUUAGUUAUUAUGAGCUAAACUAUAUUUCUAGUAUUGUGGUGGAUUUCAACAUGCAAUUUGAAUAUUAUUUUCUCUUUUAUUUUUCAUGAAUGGGUGUAGUUUUGCUUAUUUAAAUAUGUUCUUCAUGCUUUUCAUUGUUUGACCAACAAUUAACUGAUUUGUGAAUCUAAUUGAGACUCGACAAAGAGAUUUUAGAUUGAACUAAGGUAUGACUGGUGUAUGUUCACGUCACUUAGGUGAUCUGAUUUACGAUUCGGGUAGACAUGUGCCAAUUGCCAUACAUAGCCACAUUAGGACACUUGCUUAAUGAACUUAAUUUAAUUGAUUCCUAUAGACAUAUAAUGAACUAAUUAAGUUAGGUAUUUGUACAAGCAACUCGACGGAGACUUGUCCAUAGCUUUGGAUUCUAGGUUAGUAAAACCACAUAAGAAAAAAAAUAACAAGAAAAGCUGGUAUCAAAUGAAAUGUUGAAUGAACCCAUAAUCCUAGGUCUUUAAUAUACUGCUUUUCUCAACUUAUCUAGUUUGUUAGUUAAUUUAGUCUUUAUUUUAAUUUUGUUUUAAUUAAGUUUUUGCAAAUUUUGAUUACUUAAAUAAGAUUGAUUUUUUAUAAGAUUUUAGUACUUAGUAAAAAUUUAGGAACAAAUUUCUGUGGGAACGAUACUCUACUUCAUCACUAUAUUACUAGUUCGAUAUGUAUACUUACAUGUGCAAAAUCGACAACAGAUGUCUAUCAAUAGAUUUUUUUUGUUUGAAUCUAGAAAUGAUUUGGAUGAAUAUCUAUCGAUAGAUAUUCAUCAUCUAUAGAUAUAUGAGUGACAUCUAUCGACAGAUAGAAAUCUAAGAACUUUUUAAAAUGGUUUUGAAGCUAAUCUAUCAAUAGAUGCGCUCGAUCUAUCGAUAGAUGACACUGUUUUUAGAAAACUAAUAGGGACAAAAUGGCAUUUUUCUCAUGUAAAACUAUAACUAUGGCACAUUAUUCGAGGGUUAGCAACCUUCAGUAGUAGUUUUACAAGGCAAACCUCUUCUAAAACCCUUUUAACUCAUUUUUGAAAAAAAAUCAUUCCUUUUAAUAAUUCUAAGCUUUGUUUUAAGACUUAACGAUAAAAAUGACAUUUUUAAGCUUUGAAACCCAAAAGCUGAAAAUGACAUUCUAGAAAUUUUGUUUCUUGCUCUAGAAAUUCUAUUGGAGGAUUAAAGUUAAAGGUUUUAUGAUUUUUCAAGUUAUCGAAGCUCAUCUAAGGUAAGAGUAAAAGAUUUACUGAUUGUAGAAUGGGUUUAGUAAGAGAAAAUAGACUUAGUCAAUAGCGAAUAACUUUCGAAAGCUCUUAGAAUGAUUAUUUCGAGGUUGUUAGGCUAUAAAUUAAUUGAUAUGAUUAUAGUGUGAUAGGAACAAUCGUAAAGUCUAAGGAAAUCACCGGAGAUAGGUUAUGAUUGAGUUUUUGAUCGAGGUGAGUGGACAUAACACUUUAAAAACUAGUUUGACAAGUAAAGUUGAAGCAUGAUUUGAGAAAUUUCAAUAAGUAUGAUUUUCUAUAAAUACAUGUGAAUUGAAAAAUAAUUUUGGAUGAGAAAAAUAUUUUGAAAUUUUCUUUCAAUCUACUAUGUAUAUAAAUAUUCUAUUAGGUAUUAGUUCUCAGCAAUGGGGGACAAGCACCUUGUUGUUUGAAGCACUCAAUCACUCUAGUCUUCUAACUAGUAUGGGUACAGGAUAUGAUUAAUGCAUAUGCUAAAUAUGUUUAGACAUGAAACAUGUGAUGGAUUGCAUGAUGAUUUUGUUGGUAUAUGCCCAUGAGCCAAUCGGAUUAGUCAAGGAAUAUAUAAUGUCAUUUAAUGCAUACUUAAUCACAUAACUACAUGUGAUAGAGGCUUUCCUUCAUGCUAGUGCAAUAAUAAGGAGUUAUUAAGUACGAAUUAGAUGAAACCCAUUGAACCUAAAGGCCUUGCAAGAGAAUUGUAAAGUUCUUACAAUUAUGAGAUCACUAUGCAUCAAAGCCAUGUUCCUAAAAUUGUUCCUGUUUAUUCUUUUGUAAAGAUAGGACAUCGACAAUGCUCAAAGACUAGUACAUUUUAAGCCUCCUUACUUAGGAAGUAAGCAAUCGAUCUCAUAGAUUGAAGUAUAUGGGAUACUUGAGGAUAACAUAUGGGUGCUCGUUAAAGAACAAGUUCACUAAACAUGAACUACAAUGAGAACUCCAUUUGGUAUUUCACUCAAGUGUCUAUGGAAUAUGUUCUCAUGUCAUAGUCGUCAACUAGUGCUCAAACUUGAGACAUUAGGUCAUCUUGUGUGGGGAAUGAUAUACUUUGAUUUCACCUCUACGAGUCUAGAGGCGACCAGAUACCUAAACAGGGUGUUUUUGGGUAUGCCAUGAAGCAUGAGAAAGCAUUGAGUGGUCAAGAGAGAAUUCAUUAUCCCAAGUGAUAUGAGGGGAUGUAUCUCACUUGUUCUCAAUUCUUGAUUAACUUGUAUAAAGUCUUUGGCCAAGCAUUAUGAAUUUGAAGAAAGCUAGUUUCCUAAAUUCAUAAAGUUAGUCAUAAAUUAUGAGAACUAAUAUGGAAUGUUAUAAGUAGACACUAGGCCAUGCUUUUCAACAUAUCUGAGAUAUUUGAUGAAAGGACCGUAUUGCACUGAGAGGCUUAUCACUGAAGGGCUUUAUCAAAUUCUUUGAUUGGCUUUUUAAUAUUUAGAUGGUCAUGAUGUAUUGCUAGAUACCACUCAUGAUCUAUAAAUAUAAAUCAAUUAUUAAAUUGAUAUUUGAUUAGGAUUUAUAUUUAUUGCCAACAUGUUAGAAGCCUAAUGGGUCACACACAUUAAGUGACAUGAUUGAGAUUAAAUAAGGCUGAUCAAUUAAGAUGGACUUAAUUAGAAUAGACCAAAAUAAAGUAAAAAAUUAAUAAAGUUCACAAAGACUUAAUUAAAUUAAAGUACAACUGUUGUAUCUAGGGUUACAACUUAGUUUGGCUAUGUAAAUAUGUUAUAAACUAAAACUCUAAGCCUCUAGCCACUCCUUAGUCAUUUCUUAAAAUUAGAAAAGAAAAAAAUAGUUUUCUUUAUAUAACAAAAAUAAGAUUCAACAAAAAAUUUGGUCUUUUUGUUUUAGAAACAAAACUUGCUAACACAAGUAAAAUCUUACCUUUGAAAAGGUCUUAUUUAGUCAUUGUGUGGAUUACUGUUAAAAGCCAAACUCUUGGGUGGCUAAGGAUUUAACAAAUCCUAAAGGUGUAGAAGCAAAGAUUUCAAUUACAAGAUUUUAGACUAUCUUAUUCUUUUUCAAGUUUCUUGCUUAAUCACAAACCUUUUGGAUUUAAAGCUCUUGAUUAGAAUAUCUAGAGUAAGGUAUGUAACUCUUGAAAUUAUUAAUAUUCAUAAUUAAUUUGAAAAUUACAUGAAAAAUAAAAACAUUAAUUUUGUAGGAUUUGGUUGUUUCUUUGAUUAAAUGUUAGUUUAUUAUUCCAUUGCAUUAUAUAUUUUAAUUUCUUGAUUAUUUUCAUAUUUGAGCAUGAGGUCAAAUCCCAACAGUGGUAUCAGAGCCUUGUUUGAGGUUUUCAUAUAAUAUGCAUGCUUCAUUCUUGUGAUAAUCAAUAUGAUUGAUUUGUGUGUUGAUUUGGUGUAUAUCAAUUUUGAAGCCUUUAACAGUAUUUUAAUUGAUUUGAUGUUUUUCAAUAUGAUUUAUCUGUUUUUCUAUUUUAAUUCAAAUCUGAACAGCAUGUAAUUAACUCAUUAAAACAUGUUUUAAAAUGUUUAAAAUCAUGUUUAGUUGAAGAAUUAAUAAUUGGAUUAAAAAGCUUGCAAAGCAGAGUUGAAAUCGGAUAGUUUUGAGAUGUUUUGAAGAUUAAUGUGCCAAUUAUAUUUUUAGUAACAUUGGGUAAGUGUUAUGAGUAGUUUUUAAUUGUUAAAAAUUAGUUUUAUCAAAUUAAAUUACUGCAUGUUUCGGCCAAACUUGAUUUAGUAGCUUUUUGUUCAUAAAAAUCAUGUUUUCGAGUUCGAAAACAACAAAGAUUCAAUGUAUUAAAUUUUGGGUACCUAUGAUCGGUUUUGGUGGCUUAAUUCUUCAUGAAUUUUAUGUUUAAUUGUUAAACACACUUAUUGGAAAUUUCCAGUAGCUUUUUCAUGAGUUUGACUCAUAAUUUAUGGAGUUUGAAGAGCACUUAAAUGCCAUCUAUUUUAAUUGUGGGUGAGUCAUAAAAAAAUAGGAAAUUAUUUCCUACUUUAAUAGAUAAUCCUUAAAUUACGAAUAAUAUUUUCAUUUGGAAAAUUCAUAGGAAAUAGUUUCCUACUUUAAAAGAAUUUCCUAAAGUUCUGUGGUAGCAUUGAACUUUCCUUAAAAUUUUGGUUUAACUAGAAGUUUCCAAAAUUUGUUAAGUCACCAUUUAGGUAAUUUGAACAGCAUACAAGUUAGGAAAUUAAUCCAUGUUCUAAAUGUUAGAAAUUAAAAUGUUGAGUUAGAUAUAUUUCAGGAAGUUUACCUAAAAUAAAGAGGUUUCCAAAAUUAAAAGGAGUUUUAAUUAUGGAAAGAAUGAAAAUGGAAUGUCUUAAAAAAGGAAAAUUUUAUUUCAAUGAAUUUCUAAUAUGAAAUAAGAAGUAAAAGGUUUACUCUAAGUGCUUUGAAAAUGGAAAUUUCUUAAGCACUAAAUUGAAAUAAAACAAUACCAAAUAAUUUGAGUUGGCACUUUAAGUGAAUUAAUUGAUGUUUUUCUCAAAUAACACACAAGAUCACCAAGUGAUAUUGAGCUUGCAAUUAAUUCUAUGCUUUUGAUUAUGAUUAUAAAGCAUGAGGAUGAUUAUAGACUUAGACCUUAGAAGAUUAGGUCAUGGAUGAUUAAAUUUAUUUCUUAUGUUAUUUAUUUUAAAAUAGGGUCUGCGCACCCUGCCUUAUUUCUAUGUUCUCUUAGGUUGUAAAAUUCUUUUCUCACCUAACUCCCUUCGAAUGUUACUCAAGGUUUCUUGAUUAUAGAAUGUAAUUAGUUACAUCAAAGUGUAAAACUAGGGUUAGAUAGAAAAAUUUUUGUAACUUGAAGAUUGAGAUUUGAACGUGCCAUGGAGAUUUAAGGAAAUUACAAGCAAAGCUUGAAGACAUGAUUGCAAAAUACUUUAGGAAUUUGAACAACUAAUUUCCUUAAUGGCUCGAGAAAAUUAGAAUUAGUAAAAUCCAUAAUCGUCCUAGCAGUUGGCAUAAGAUAGAUUUAUUUUUCAGUAUAUAUAUAUGAUAUAUGUGAGAUGCGAUUAAUGUUAUGCAUGUCAACAACGUCGAAUCAAUGAGACCUUAAUUAAUAAGUUAAUAAAGAAGAAUCCCUCAUUAAUACAUUGAGUCAAAAAGUUACCUUCCACCAUAUCACAAGAUAACUAGGCUGCUCUUUUAAUUGGAAGCUUGUUGUUACGACCCAGUACUCUCCUCGAGCCCGUGACAACCGUUGCGAUGUCUCGAUACACAUUCAUUACCCUAAAUGCCAAUCGAAAC